Molecule: non-coding RNA, 21 nt
Filed under: Rattus norvegicus (Norway rat)
Lineage: Eukaryota; Metazoa; Chordata; Mammalia; Rodentia; Muridae
Source: RNAcentral
GACACAUCCAUGGAUGGAUGG